Molecule: long non-coding RNA, 526 nt
Organism: Arachis duranensis
Lineage: Eukaryota; Viridiplantae; Streptophyta; Magnoliopsida; Fabales; Fabaceae
Exons: 3
Source: RefSeq, a predicted model, not a curated record
CCUAGGUAGCUCGGCACGUCGUCCUCAUCCUCGCCGGCUUCUCUGUCCGUGGCUUGGACCAACUCGCCUUCGGGUCACCGCUUGCCAUCGUCUCUGCUCUCGCCGUCAUCUCGCCGGUUGCUGCCGUGUCUCUGUUGAAGGUAUAUAUAUCUUGGGUAUUCGACAGUGAAGUAGAAGCUGCAAGGUCCUAGUGACACAUGAAUUACAUUAUACCUGCACUGAAUUUAUUACCCUGAAUUUUCAACCUCACUAGGGCUCCAAUCCAAUACGUGUAUCCCUUUUGAUUUUCUGAAAUUCAGAGCUUAUGACAAUGCUGCUAUCAAAUGCAAUGGAAGGGAAGCAGUGACUAACUUUGAGCCAAGUACAUAUGAAGGGGAGAUGAAAUCUCCAGCCAUCAAUGAAGGUGGCAUUCAUAAUCUUGAACUUAAUUUGAGCAUAGCAACUCCAGGACAUGGUCUGAAAGAAAAUAGGGGGCAACUCCAGUUCUCCUGGGUCCCUUACAGCAUGCAUGCUAGAAGAACAAUGG